AACGAACGCUGGCGGCAUGCCUAACACAUGCAAGUCGAACGAGACCUUCGGGUCUAGUGGCGCACGGGUGCGUAACGCGUGGGAACCUGCCCUUAGGUUCGGAAUAACUCCCCGAAAGGGGUGCUAAUACCGGAUAAUGUCUUCGGGCCAAAGAUUUAUCGCAUUUGGGUGGGCCCGGGUUGGAUUAGCUAGUUGGUAGGGUAAAAGCCUACCAAGGCGACGAUCCUUAGCUGGUCUGAGGGGAUGAUCCGCCACACUGGGACUGAGACACGGCCCAGAAUCCUACGGGAGGCAGCAGUGGGGAAUAUAGGAAAAGGGGCGAAAGCCUGAUCCAGCAAUGCCGCGUGAGUGAUGAAGGCCUUAGGGUUGUAAAGCUCUUUUACCCGGGGUGAUAAUGACAGUACCGGGAGAAUAAGCACCGGCUAACUCCGUG
Molecule: ribosomal RNA, 433 nt
Filed under: uncultured bacterium
Lineage: Bacteria
Description: partial 16S ribosomal RNA
Rfam family: Bacterial small subunit ribosomal RNA
Source: RNAcentral